AAGUUUGAAGCGAAAAUCACGCAAUUAGUUUCGACCUAAAGCUUGGUGUAAUUACACACCCAAACUUA
Molecule: transfer RNA, 68 nt
Filed under: Libelloides macaronius
Lineage: Eukaryota; Metazoa; Arthropoda; Insecta; Neuroptera; Myrmeleontidae
Description: transfer RNA-Arg
Source: RNAcentral